This 1400-nucleotide ribosomal RNA is filed under the name uncultured bacterium. RNAcentral's name for it is "16S ribosomal RNA". It matches the Rfam family "Bacterial small subunit ribosomal RNA". The record is from RNAcentral.
AGAGUUUGAUCCUGGCUCAGGAUGAACGCUAGCGGCAGGCUUAACACAUGCAAGUCGAGGGGCAUCGGGAGGGAAGCUUGCUUUCCUUGCCGGCGACCGGCGCACGGGUGAGUAACACGUAUGCAACCUGCCCUCUUCAGGGGGACAACCUUCCGAAAGGGAGGCUAAUCCCGCGUAUAUCGGUUUCGGGCAUCCGAGAUCGAGGAAAGAUUCAUCGGAAGAGGAUGGGCAUGCGGCGCAUUAGCUAGACGGCGGGGUAACGGCCCACCGUGGCGACGAUGCGUAGGGGUUCUGAGAGGAAGGUCCCCCACACUGGUACUGAGACACGGACCAGACUCCUACGGGAGGCAGCAGUGAGGAAUAUUGGUCAAUGGGAGAGAUCCUGAACCAGCCAAGCCGCGUGAGGGAAGACGGCCCUAUGGGUUGUAAACCUCUUUUGUCGGAGAACAAAACCCGGGACGAGUCCCGGACUGCGUGUAUCCGAAGAAAAAGCAUCGGCUAACUCCGUGCCAGCAGCCGCGGUAAUACGGAGGAUGCGAGCGUUAUCCGGAUUUAUUGGGUUUAAAGGGUGCGUAGGCGGUCCGUUAAGUCAGCGGUAAAAUUGCGGGGCUCAACCCCGUCGAGCCGUUGAAACUGGCAGACUUGAGUUGGCGAGAAGUACGCGGAAUGCGCGGUGUAGCGGUGAAAUGCAUAGAUAUCGCGCAGAACUCCGAUUGCGAAGGCAGCGUACCGGCGCCACACUGACGCUGAGGCACGAAAGCGUGGGGAUCGAACAGGAUUAGAUACCCUGGUAGUCCACGCAGUAAACGAUGAAUGCUGUUUGUCCGGGUCGAAUGAGACCUGGGCGGCGAAGCGAAAGCGAUAAGCAUUCCACCUGGGGAGUACGCCGGCAACGGUGAAACUCAAAGGAAUUGACGGGGGCCCGCACAAGCGGAGGAACAUGUGGUUUAAUUCGAUGAUACGCGAGGAACCUUACCCGGGCUCAAACGCAGGAGGGAUGUUUUUGAAAGGAGGCAGCCAGCAAUGGUCUCCUGCGAGGUGCUGCAUGGUUGUCGUCAGCUCGUGCCGUGAGGUGUCGGCUUAAGUGCCAUAACGAGCGCAACCCCUACCUACAGUUGCCAUCGCGUGAUGGCGGGCACUCUGUGGGGACUGCCUGCGCAAGCAGUGAGGAAGGCGAGGAUGACGUCAAAUCAGCACGGCCCUUACGUCCGGGGCGACACACGUGUUACAAUGGCAGGUACAGCGGGAAGCCACCCGGCGACGGGGCGCGGAACCCGAAAACCUGUCUCAGUUCGGAUUGGAGUCUGCAACCCGACUCCAUGAAGCUGGAUUCGCUAGUAAUCGCGCAUCAGCCACGGCGCGAUGAAUACGUUCCCGGGCCUUGCACACACCGCCCGUCA